RNAcentral lists this ribosomal RNA (515 nucleotides) under uncultured bacterium. RNAcentral describes it as "partial 16S ribosomal RNA". It matches the Rfam family "Bacterial small subunit ribosomal RNA", at positions 28 to 523 of the family's 1533-position model. The record is from RNAcentral.
GAUGAACGCUGGCGGCGUGCCUAAUACAUGCAAGUCGAGCGAAUGGAUUAAGAGCUUGCUCUUAUGAAGUUAGCGGCGGACGGGUGAGUAGCACGUGGGUAACCUGCCCAUAAGACUGGGAUAACUCCGGGAAACCGGGGCUAAUACCGGAUAACAUUUUGAACCGCAUGGUUCGAAAUUGAAAGGCGGCUUCGGCUGUCACUUAUGGAUGGACCCGCGUCGCAUUAGCUAGUUGGUGAGGUAACGGCUCACCAAGGCAACGAUGCGUAGCCGACCUGAGAGGGGGAGCGGCCACACUGGGACUGAGACACGGCCCAGACUCCUACGGGAGGCAGCAGUAGGGAAUCUUCCGCAAUGGACGAAAGUCUGACGGAGCAACGCCGCGUGAGUGAUGAAGGCUUUCGGGUCGUAAAACUCUGUUGUUAGGGAAGAACAAGUGCUAGUUGAAUAAGCUGGCACCUUGACGGUACCUAACCAGAAAGCCACGGCUAACUACGUGCCAGCAGCCGCGGUAA